GAUGAAGAACGUAGCGAAAUGCGAUAAGUAGUGUGAAUUGCAGAAUUCAGUGAAUCAUCGAAUCUUUGAACGCACAUUGCGCCUCCUGGUAUUCCGGGAGGCAUGCCUGUUCGAGCGUCAUCAAAAACCUCAACCCAUGAUUUAUUGUGAGUUGGUUCUGCAUUGGACUCCUUGUGGGUCCUUUGCGAAAUCCAAUGGCGAAGACCCACGCAACCAAAGCGUAGUAUAACUAUUUCGUUAUGGAAGCGUGGGUGCCUCUGCCGUAACCCCCAAUUUCUUAGUUUUUGACCUCGGAUCAGGUAGGGAUACCCGCUGAACUUAAGCAUAUCAAUAAGCGGAGGA
Molecule: unclassified non-coding RNA, 342 nt
Filed under: soil metagenome
Description: partial contains 5.8S ribosomal RNA, internal transcribed spacer 2, and large subunit ribosomal RNA
Rfam family: 5.8S ribosomal RNA (bases 1-120)
Source: RNAcentral